GCUAUUCCACCGACAACCCCUCUUCUAUUUUUCCUCUUCGCUACCACUACAGCGUGUGUUUUCCAGGUUGUUUCUGUCCUGCCAUGUCUUGCUCUCUGAUCUUAAGGGGUUUUCUUCCAUCUUUUUGCUUAAUUACAACAAUCGGAAUUCCAGAACACAAGAUUCACCAAAUCAAACUGCAUACGAAAUCAAGAAAUCAACUAAUUUCACUAACCUUAGGACCAAAUUCACAAAUGGGUUUCACUAUUUUACCUCUAGAAUCUCAAAUCGUGUAGAGGGGUUUAAAGUUGCAGCUAGCCAAGAGCUUUAAUUUGAUGUUCAGGUUAGUUAUGCUUUGCACAUUCCUUUUAAUUCAUGGCCUAGGGAUUGUUCUUUGUUUAUUGUCUUCGGUUUUUUUUUUGUUUCUUAUUUGCAAAUUGAUGUGUGUUUUCAGUUGUUGGAUUUCACAUGUGUUGCUCUAAUGUCAGUUUAUAAGUGAAUGAACUUAAUGCAUAAAUGGUUACCUUUUGUAUUUGAAUGUCAGUUAUAUAUCUAUACAAGUUAUAAUAUUCAGUUGUUGCUUAUAUUUCUUUAUAAUAUGGUAUUGGUUAAUGUUUUCAAAAGUGUUGUAUAACAGCUUGGUUCAAGAUGCUUAUAAUUACUUGAUUAUACAAAUGAUUGCUUUCGUGUGUCCGAAGCCGCAUGUCAAGUUGCAACUUUAGGCUAUGUGAACUUAAUUUCAUAAGAAGUUUUAUAGUGAAGCCGGAGCUUUGUGUUAAAGAAAAAAAAGAACAACUUGGUUUAUACAUGUUCAUAUUCCUUCAAAAGAAUAACGUGAGCGUGACAAUUGUGAACCAGUAUAUAUUCGCUAGUUCUUACCACCCCUGUUUUAGUUGAGCAUCAUAGUUUUUUUCCACUUUUGGGAUAUAUUUGAAUUGAGUCGUUACUUAAGAAAAUCUUUAUCCAUUCCUUUGUAAAACGAGCCUUUUGUUUUGAAGAAAUUUUAUUAUUAUGGUACGUUGUGUGCAUUAGCCUUUUCGAUGAACAACAUGAGCAUAAGCAUUUACUGUAUUUUGAGCCAUUAUAAUAUUAUUUUGAGCAUAAUGCUUGCUUUUUGUCACAUAACCUACAUGAAAAUGUUUAUAUCACACAUAUUUUAUGUGAGAUAAAAACCAUAUUUUCAUAAAAAAAUGGCUUUAGGAAAGAGGGGGAUGUUUAGUUGGAUUCUUGGGCUUGGAUUGCUGGACCCUUAUGUUUAAACAUUUUUUGCCCACAAAUAAUAAUUUAUUGGUUAAUUUUGUUCUUUUAAUUAGAUUACUUAAUGAAAAUAAUAACGUCUCAUUUUCAUAUUUGGAUGUAACUUUUAAAGUUUCUGAUAAUGUAACUUAAAAAUACUUUUAUAAACUUCUAAUAAGAAAGAUAAUCAAGGUUCAUUUGAAUCUAAUAAAGUGUAAGGAUGGGUAGAACAUGGCAAAAUACAUGUUUUGCUUUCUAAUGGUUACUGAUAAAAAAAACAAUAAGUUAGGUGAAACUCAUAAUCCAGUCACUAAUACAUUGGUUGAAUCUUUGUGUUUCUUUUCGUCAUUUUAUAGUUAUCUUAUGAUUUUGGGCAUAAAGAUCUACUGAAUGCUUUUUAGUAAUGACUUUUACUUUAAUGUUUCAGCUUUUUUUUGGCUGGGGCCAUCCGCCCACGUUAGUCUAAUAUGUUUUGUGUUUGCUUUGUUGUUCCUUUUAGUUGUGUGGUUGCUAUUAUGUUAGUUUAUUAGGAAAUUUUUUGGUUAACUAUGUCUACUUCUCGAAAAGGGGUCGUAUUACUUAAUGAAUCUAUUCAUUUUUCUAAUGUGUCCACUUCAGUAGGUAGACAACAAUCUUUUGUGUCAUGUAGCAAUGAAGUUUUCCUAAUUCUAUGUAUAUAGAUAACGCUAAUUGUAUUAGCAUAUGCGAACAUUGCGAUGCCUUAUUUGGGUACUAUGAGCUGUCAAUUCGAUGUAUUCUAUCGUUGUUGUAAAUAUGGACGUGUCAAACUUAAGUCUCCUGUCAUUCCUUCAUAGUCAUUGUUACAUCUAUUUGAUCAAUCCGCUUUUCUUGCUAAUAUAUGUGCUUAUAACAACAUGAUUUCAUUAACAUCUUUUGGUGGCAAAGUCGACGAGUCUAUCAACAUUGGCUCUGCUCAUUACGUUUUCAAAAUUGAAGGCCAGGUUUACCAUUGGCCUGGUUCUUUUUAUCCAACACUGAAUGAAUGUCCUCGCUUAUUGCAAAUGUCUGUGUAUGAUACCGAGAAUGAGGUUUCUAAUAAACUACGCGUAUUCGCAAACGAUAAUUGGCGAUUGAAUUCUGGCAUUUUCACUUUGCUUACUCAAAUCCUUGAGAGUUGUAACGUCCUUGUCAAACAAUGGAACAAAUGCUAGAAAGAUCUUGCUACGACUUGGUAGUCAAGGAUGGAUAUACAUAUUCAAAAACCAUGCCUGCAGAUAUCUAUAAUAUAAGGAGAAAAGCUACACAUUUGGACACUUCAAUGAAAUAAGACGACUCAAUGGCAGUGCAGAAACCUAGAGUACCACUGAUUAUAAUCCCGACGACCCCAGAUCCAAAAAACAGCAACAACCGAAAGAAGAACACCGGUAUCGCCAGACAAUGAGACAACGGGAAACAAGCAAAGAAGUAAAAGGAUAGCAGGAAAGGCAACAUUUUGACAAGCCAAAAAACCGAAGAUGCAUCCAUGCUGAUUUUCCAGGUGCAAAAAAGGCUAAAAAAGCUAGCAGCCUUCACAAAAUCCAUCCCUUUUGCAACACACAUAGAGCAACAGUUGGCCACCGACACCCACCUCUUCCCAGAGGUACCGGGUUCGAGUCUUGGGAGUGGCAUAUGUCGCCCAGGGUAAGAAUUCGGCAUGGGGAAGUCACCGCGGAGCUAACUUGGUCGGGUAGCGGCUCCCGGAGUGAGAUCACUCCGGCGGUUGGGAGGACUGUGCACUAUCCCCCCCCCCCAUAUAGAGCAACAGGAAAUGCUCCACAUUCGUAUGCAACAACCCAAAAAAUUUUUGGCAUCAACAACAAAAUUAGGAAGACAAAGAUAUUAACAUCUGAAGGAACGAAGAUCUUUUGGCUAAAACUGGUAAAGCAGCAACUCGCAAGGACAUCAACUUUUGAAGAAAAAAACCAUACUACUCUUAUCUAAAUUGUAAUUUGAAUCCUAAUGUAACUAGAGAUGACCAAUAAGAUAACCCCAUUCAUGGAUGGAAUAUCUAUAAGACUAUUAUUCUCAUUUAAGCUAUAGUUUGAAUGUUAAUGCAACCUAUAAUCACUA
This is a long non-coding RNA of Helianthus annuus (common sunflower), 3285 nucleotides long. RefSeq lists it as uncharacterized. The transcript has 2 exons. The record is from RefSeq and is a predicted model, not a curated record. NCBI's taxonomy places the organism in Eukaryota, Viridiplantae, Streptophyta, Magnoliopsida, Asterales, Asteraceae.